RNAcentral lists this long non-coding RNA (633 nucleotides) under Sorghum bicolor (sorghum). RNAcentral describes it as "long non-coding RNA (SBIC_LNC002557)". The record is from RNAcentral. Lineage: Eukaryota; Viridiplantae; Streptophyta; Magnoliopsida; Poales; Poaceae.
CAUGUCCUAUUAAACUUGUAUGAAAUCUAUCUAUCUAUCUAUCUAUCUAUCUAUCUAUGCACUAUAAAAAACAAAAGAAUAGAUAAAAUACAAUCGAUUUCUACCCACUUUAUCUCUUGCCCCUUUGACAUUCUUUACUAAACAGAUCUUCGAGCAUCUUCAAAAGUUUUUUCUAAAAUGUACUCUCUAAAUCAUCAUUGAAGAGUCAUUUUCUAUAUCUUUGUAUUCUCUAAAUUUUUUAUAUAUCUUGUGCGUAGUCAAAGUGUCAUCCUCGCUCUCCAUCUUUGGUUAGCAAAGCUAGAAAUCCAAAAUAGAGGAUAUCUAUAUUUAAAUAUCUAAAAUAAAGAGGCUAUUGGAGGGGGUUUUUUCAUCAAAAUAUCUAUUUCUGUAAAUUAUAAAAAAUAAUCUCUUGAAAAUGCUCUUAUACAUGAAAGCCAUCCAACCAUAUGUAAUGGGUGGGCCUAGCUUGUUACGGUUGAUAACCUAUGUCACACCCUGGCUUUUAAAAUAAGACCAGAGUCGUCAUAUGUGUGCCCAGGAAGUCCACACAUAUAACAAAAGAAUAGAAAUAUCAGAAUCAAUGUUAUAUAUAGCGGAAAAACAUAUUUAUAAUAACACUUACAAAACAUCAGA